UACGGAGGGUGCAAGCGUUAUCCGGAUUCACUGGGUUUAAAGGGUGCGUAGGUGGGUAUGUAAGUCCGUGGUGAAAUCCUGCAGCUUAACUGCAGAACUGCCGUGGAUACUAUAUAUCUUGAAUAUCGUGGAGGUUAGUGGAAUAGGUCAUGUAGCGGUGAAAUGCUUAGAGAUGACAUGGAACACCGAUUGCGAAGGCAGCUGGCUACACGAUAAUUGACACUGAGGCACGAAAGCGUGGGUAGCAAACAGG
This 253-nucleotide ribosomal RNA is filed under the name uncultured bacterium. Its description in RNAcentral is "partial 16S ribosomal RNA". It matches the Rfam family "Bacterial small subunit ribosomal RNA", at positions 524 to 776 of the family's 1533-position model. The record is from RNAcentral.